Venturia canescens is the source of this 101-nucleotide long non-coding RNA. RefSeq lists it as uncharacterized. Lineage: Eukaryota; Metazoa; Arthropoda; Insecta; Hymenoptera; Ichneumonidae. The record is from RefSeq and is a predicted model, not a curated record. The transcript has 3 exons.
GGAUUUCAUGGGAGUACAAAAAUAAAAUAAAAUUCAGGUGUUUGAUACAGAACGAAACCGAAUAUCAUCGAAGUAAAACAACUGAUUCACAUUAGCCAAAU